RNAcentral lists this RNase P RNA (361 nucleotides) under Accipiter nisus (Eurasian sparrowhawk). RNAcentral's name for it is "Nuclear RNase P (ENSANIG00000000646.1)". It matches the Rfam family "Nuclear RNase P". From Rfam's summary of the family: Ribonuclease P (RNase P) is a ubiquitous endoribonuclease, found in archaea, bacteria and eukarya as well as chloroplasts and mitochondria. The record is from Rfam by way of RNAcentral. Lineage: Eukaryota; Metazoa; Chordata; Aves; Accipitriformes; Accipitridae.
UCCGGGGGAAGCUCACCGCCGAGGCCACCCACGGGGUGCCCGUCACCCACGCCCCGCCUCGGGGAAGGUCUGAGAGAAGGGCCGCCCGCGGCUCUAGCAGAGCUCCGCCCGCGAGGGGCGGGUGAGCCACCAGCAAGGGGGGGCGCCGCGCAUCAUGGGCCGGCCUGGGCAGGAGAAGCCGUAGCUGGUUCCCGGCGGGGGCGGCGGGGCUUUAAAACCCUCGCUCUCCUGCUCGCGGAACCCCGGCGGAUGCUCGUGGCCCCGCGGUGCUUUGAGACAGACUCACGGCCAGCAAUAGUUGAGUCCAAUGGGUGAGGUGGGGUAUCGCCCUAUAACCCAAUUCAGACUACUCUCCCCCGGA